CCCUUAGAUGUCCUGGGCCGCACGCGCGUUACACUGAUGCAUUCAACGAGCUUAUAACCUUGGCCGAGAGGCCUGGGCAAUCUUGUUAACGUGCAUCGUGAUAGGGAUAGAUUAUUGAAAUUAUUAAUCUUGAACGAGGAAUUCCUAGUAAACGCAGAUCAUCAAUCUGCAUUGAUUACGUCCCUGCCCUUUGUACACACCGCCCGUCGCUACUACCGAUUGAAUGGUUUAGUGAGAUCUUCGGAUUGGCGCCACUGCAGCUCAGCAAUGGGCUUGGUGGAUGCCGAAAAGUUGAUCAAACUUGAUCAUUUAGAGGAAGUAAAAGUCGUAACA
This 333-nucleotide ribosomal RNA is filed under the name uncultured eukaryote. Its description in RNAcentral is "partial 18S ribosomal RNA". It matches the Rfam family "Eukaryotic small subunit ribosomal RNA", at positions 1470 to 1796 of the family's 1831-position model. The record is from RNAcentral.